GGUCUGGUAGCUCAAUGGUAGAGUGCAGGUGGCCAAUACCUGAGAUUGUGGGUUCAAUUCCCACCUGGGUCA
Non-coding RNA from Imleria badia, 72 nucleotides. Lineage: Eukaryota; Fungi; Basidiomycota; Agaricomycetes; Boletales; Boletaceae. The record is from the annotation of a GenBank genome assembly.